GUGGAAGGGGGCUUGCUCCCGACAGCGGUGGCACAGUCGGUACAACCGGUGACUGUUUCACUGCAAUCGGGAGCAAGCCCCCUCCCAC
This 88-nucleotide unclassified non-coding RNA is filed under the name Pseudomonas trivialis. The record is from RNAcentral. Lineage: Bacteria; Pseudomonadati; Pseudomonadota; Gammaproteobacteria; Pseudomonadales; Pseudomonadaceae.